ACUGUCUCACAAAUCAGUGGUGGGGGGGGAGCAGGCAGUGUUAAUGUUGCAUCUUCUACCAAUGUCUUUGUUUUGCGUAAUUUCCAAUCCUCUUUGAUUUAUAAAUUUCCCUUUAACCCUACCACCCCGCCAACUUCUUACCACUUCUACCGUUCUAUCGAGCCAACUAUGCUUUAUAACAGUUUCAUUUAAUUUGUCUUCAUAUCUCAAUUAUUGUCAUGUGGGUAAUCGCAAUUCUAUCUAAAUGAUACAAACCUAAAGUUAACUAAUAAUAAUAAUAUUAUUAUUAUUAUUAUAUUAUUAUAUUAUAGUUCCUGGAACACUGUUGGUUCUACACCAAUACAACUAGUUCCUGGAACACUGUUGGUUCUACACCAAUACAACCAGUUCCUGGAACACUGUUGGUUCUACACCAAUACAACUAGGUCCUGGAACACUGUUGGUUCUACACCAAUACAACUAGUUCCUGGAACACUGUUGGUUCUACACCAAUACAACUAGUUCCUGGAACACUGUUGGUUCUACACCAAUACAACUAGUUCCUGGAACACUGUUGGUUCUUCACCAAUACAACCAGUUCCUGGAACACUGUUGGUUCUUCACCAAUACAACCAGUUCCUGGAACACUGUUGGUUCUACACCAAUACAACUAGUUCCUGGAACACUGUUGGUUCUACACCAAUACAACCAGUUCCUGGAACACUGUUGGUUCUACACCAAUACAACUAGGUCCUGGAACACUGUUGGUUCUACACCAAUACAACUAGGUCCUGGAACACUGUUGGUUCUACACCAAUACAACUAGUUCCUGGAACACUGUUGGUUCUACACCAAUACAACUAGUUCCUGGAACACUGUUGGUUCUACACCAAUACAACUAGUUCCUGGAACACUGUUGGUUCUUCACCAAUACAACCAGUUCCUGGAACACUGUUGGUUCUACACCAAUACAACCAGUUCCUGGAACACUGUUGGUUCUACACCAAUACAACUAGUUCCUGGAACACUGUUGGUUCUACACCAAUACAACUAGUUCCUGGAACACUGUUGGUUCUACACCAAUACAACCAGUUCCUGGAACACUGUUGGUUCUACACCAAUACAACCAGUUCCUGGAACACUGUUGGUUCUACACCAAUACAACUAGGUCCUGGAACACUGUUGGUUCUACACCAAUACAACUAGGUCCUGGAACACUGUUGGUUCUACACCAAUACAACUAGUUCCUGGAACACUGUUGGUUCUACACCAAUACAACUAUAACUUCUAUGUAAAGAAUAGCCCACAUUGCAGUUAGGAAAUAUCCUGAUUUUUAAAAAUAUCCUAUAAAUCACAUUGGCUACUCAUGGCCUGUCAGCAACAAACUUGAAAGGUCAUAUUAAUUUGGGGACUUGCCUGCAAUGUGCUAGUGAACUUGCAACAUUGUGUAAAAUAUUCUAGGCACUCCGGUUCUAGUGCCAUUGAGCUCGGGACACAGCUGUAGGCUAUUUGCACAAGGGAUAAGAAGCAGCAAUUGACUUGGGUAGGAGCUCACAGGAGCUGAGUAUUUCAGUCCAAGUCCAGCAUGGAUUAGAAGCCUAUUUUAUGACCCUUUGGGGUUAUGGAAAGGCAGCACACUGGAAUUAUUUUUCAAGUUCAUUGAGGAACUAUUGUGAAUCUCAGUGGAUGUAAAUCAGAAUUGUUUUUUUGCUUUUUGAGGUGAACGCAUUAGUUUGAGAAGCUCCAAAGGUCAUUAAUGGUGGCGUGUUAAGCCAAUCACAUCCCCCAAAUUGAUGCUUACAUUUGCACGCAGGCAGCGUGUAGGCCUACUUCUAUGCGUGCGCGUCCUUAUUAACAUUGACAGGGGUGCUCCAAACAAAAGACGAUGACAAAAUUGACACGACUUGUAAGUGGAAUUAAAGUAACCAAAAUGUGGUUGGUUGGUCAGGCCAAUUAGGUAGUAUGUACAUGACUGUAUAGUUGGUGACUAUGCAUAUAAGAAACUGAGUAGCAGCAGCGUAAAAGAGGGGUUGGGGGGCACACAAUGCAAAUAGUCCGGGUAACCAUUUGGUUACCUGUUCAGGACUCUUAUGGCUUGGGGGUAAAAACUGUUGAGAAGCCUUUCUGUCCUAGACUUGGCACUCCGGUACCGCUUGCCAUGCGGUAGAAAAGAGAACAGUCUGUGGCUGGGGUCUUUGACACUUUUUCGGGCCUUCCUCUGACACUGCCAGGUGUAGAGGUCCUGGAUGGCAGGCAGCUUAGCCCCAGUGAUGUACUAGGCCGUACACACUACCCUCUGAAGUGCCUUGCGGUUGGAGCCCGAGCAAUUGCCGUACCAGGCAGUGAUGCAACCGGUCAGGAUGCUGUUGCAGCUGUAGAACCUUUUGAGGAUCACAGGACCCAUGCCAAAUCCUUUUAGUUUCCUGAGGGGGAAUAGGCUUUGUCGUGCCCUCUUCGACUGUCUUGGUGUGUUUGGACCAUUCUAGUUUGUUGUAAUGUGGACACCAAGGAACUUGAAGCUCUCAACCUGCUCCACUACAGCCCCGUUGAUGAGAAUGGAUGUGCUCCUUUUCCUGUAGUCCACAAUCAUCUCCUUAGUUUUGGUUACGUUGAGGGAAGGUUGUUAUUCUGGAACCACCCGGCCAGGUCUCUGACCUCCUCCCUAUAGGCUCUCGUCGUUGAUGGUGAUCAGGCCUACCACUGUGUCGUCAGCAAACUUAAUGAUGGCGUUGGGAGUCAUGCCUGGCUGUGCAGUUGUGGAUGAACAGGGAGUACAGGAGGGGACUGAGCACACACAGUUCAGUGUUGAGGCUCAGCAUGGCAGAUGUGUUGCUACCUACCCUCACCACCUGGGGGCAGCCCGUCAGGAAGUCCAGGAUCCAGUUGCAGAGGGAGGUGUUUAGUCCCAGGAUCCUUAGCUUGGUGAUGAGCUUUGAGGGUACAAUGGUGUUGAACGCUGAGCAGUGGUCAAUGAACAGCAUUCUCACAUAGGUGUUCCUUUUGUCCAGGUGGGAAAGGGCAGUGUGGAGUGCAAUAGAGAUUGCAUCAUCUGUUUGUGCGGUAUACAAAUUGGAGUGGGUCUAGGGUUUCUGGGAUAAUGGUGUUGAUGUGAGCCAUUACCAGCCUUUCAAAGCACUUCAUGGCUACGGACAUGGGUGCUACAUGUCUGUAGUCAUUUAGGCAGGUUGCCUUUGUUCUUGGGCACAGGGACUAUCGUGGUCUGCUUGAAACAUGUUGGUAUUCGACUCAAUCGGGGACAUGUUGAAAAUGUCAGUGAAGACACCUGCCAGUUGGUCAGCACAUGCCCAGAGCUCACGUCCUGGUAAUCCGUCUGGCCCCGCAGCCUUGUGUGUUGACCUGUUUAAAGGUCUUACUCGCGUCGGCUACGGAGAGCGUGAUAACACCGUUGUCCGGAACAGCUGAUGCUCUCAUGCAUGCCACAGUGUUGCUUGCCUCGAAGCGAACAUAGAACUGAUUUAGCUCGUCUGGUAGGCUCGUGCCACUGGGCAGCUCACAUCUGUGCUUCCCUUUGUAGUCUGUAAUAGUUUGCAAGCCCUGCCGCAUAAGAUGAGCAUCAGAGCCGGUGUAGUAGGAUUCAAUCUUAGCCCUGUAUUGACUCUUUGCCUGUUUGAUGGUUCGUCGCAGGGCAUAGCAGGAUUUCUUGUAAGCUUCCAGGUUAGAGUCCCGUGCCUUGAAAGCGGCAGCUCUACCCUUCAGCUCAGUGUGAAUGUUGCCUGUAAUCCAUGGCUUCUGGUUGGGGUAUGUACGUACAGUCACUGUGGGGACGACGUCCUCAAUGCACUUAUUGAUAAAGCCAGUGACUGGUGUAUUCCUCAAUGUCAUCUGAGGAAUCCCAGAACAUGUUCCAGUCUGAAAGCAAAGCAGUCCUGUAGUUUAGCAUCUGCUUCAUCUGACCAUUUUUUUAUAGACAGUCACUGGUGCUUCCUGCUUUAAUUUUAGCUUGUAAGCAGGAAUUAGGAGGAUAGAGUUGUGGUCAGAUUUACCAAAGGGAGGGCAAGAGAGCUUUGUACGAACGCGUCUUUGUGUGGAGUACAGGAGAUCUAUAAAAAAAAAUCCCUCUGGUUGCACAUUUAACAUGUUGAUAAAGAUUUGGUGGAACUGAUUCAAGUUUCCCUGCAUUUAAGUCUCCGGCCACUAGGAGUGCCACCUCUGGGUGAGUGGUUUCCUGUUUGCUUAUUUCUUCAUACAGCUGACUUAGUGUGGUCUUGGUGCCAGCAUCUGUCUGUGGUGGUAAGUGUAUCCCGCUAGCUGAAUAUCCAUGUUGUAAUUCAACCACAAUUCCGUGAAGCAUAGGAUAUUACAGUUUGAUGUCCUGUUAGUGAGUAAUAUUGACGGUAACAGCAGCUUUCCUGGGGGGGGGGCGCAAUUCUGGAGUGAAGUGCAAUUCUGGUCGCAUGGUCAACACAACUUCCUCAUUGGCCAUGCAGCAUUUACGGUGAUAUUGCUGGAGCAGAAGUUGGGACAUUCAUACUACUUUGCAGAGCGGUUGUCAAGGAAAUGAGUUUGUUUAUAUAGGAUGUACCACCCCACCUACUGUUUACCAGUCAUGUCAAUGUGGCACUAGACAGAGCCUUCCGCAUUAUUACAUUUUUGGCAAUGUGUUCCAGAGCUUUAUAUUUUUGGGCCUCUGCGGGCUCUGCAAUUGUCACACCCUCUAUAUGGAGUCUCUGACCACAUUUUCAAAUCAAGCAUAAAUUAGCUUUUAGUCCAGGCCUCUGCAAUGGAUUAGUUCACUGAGGUAUGUGCACCUGGUCGACCAACAGACCAAACAAUCGGCCAGUCGCCUAAUUGGGCUCAGCCCUAAAAACAACUGUCUCCAGCAACAUCUGCAGUGCUGAGAUGACUGUCCCCAUAUACAUUACGUUCUAUUGGUUGCUAGAAUUUUGUAGAAUUUAAAUUGAAAGACUUAAUUUUGGAGUAGGCGUUGUCAGUUCAUUAACCAUGUGGCACAGCUGUCAUUUUAAUUGGUAAAUGGUCUACCAACAACUGAUGUGCUGAUCAAGUAAUUCUUAGUU
This is a long non-coding RNA of Oncorhynchus keta (chum salmon), 5015 nucleotides long. RefSeq lists it as uncharacterized. The transcript has 3 exons. NCBI's taxonomy places the organism in Eukaryota, Metazoa, Chordata, Actinopteri, Salmoniformes, Salmonidae. The record is from RefSeq and is a predicted model, not a curated record.